UCCAUCACCAUCAUCAGUGGAUGCCUUUGCCGUCUGUAGCCUGAGAUUUCAGAUUUGCAGCAAAAAAAAAUUAUUUUCUCAUUUAUUGGAAUGCUAUGCAGGUUGUACCUUGCAGCCAUCCAUUACAAUGUCACCAAGCCGUAACAAAAGCAGGAGAGGGAAAGUACAAGGCUAUGUUCCCAAAACACACAAGUGACAUACCUUAUGUGGAUGAUGUGAUCAGGCUUGUGUUUGAUGAGGUAUUUGAAGAUAAGCUGAAGGAAACCCCGAUUACAAUGGACCUGGCAUCACAGUUUGAGAGACCUUCAAAGGAGGACGUGAUUGCAUGCCAUCUUCAGUG
Long non-coding RNA from Paramisgurnus dabryanus, 340 nucleotides. RefSeq lists it as uncharacterized. The record is from RefSeq and is a predicted model, not a curated record. NCBI's taxonomy places the organism in Eukaryota, Metazoa, Chordata, Actinopteri, Cypriniformes, Cobitidae.